Molecule: ribosomal RNA, 710 nt
Filed under: Trileptium sp. 2 TJP-2010
Lineage: Eukaryota; Metazoa; Nematoda; Enoplea; Enoplida; Thoracostomopsidae
Description: eukaryotic LSU rRNA
Rfam family: Eukaryotic large subunit ribosomal RNA
Source: RNAcentral
CAAAGAACUUUGAAGAGAGAGUUUAAGAGGGCGUGAAACCGCUUAGAAUGAAACUGACGGAGCUGAAAAGUCAUCUGUCGGAUUCAAUUUUCUAACAGCCUCGCGGCUGUAAGAGAAUGCAAUUCUGGCAGUUGAGCGCUACGACGAAUAUUUUCGCUGGCUAAGUAUUGUGUAUUGCCGGCUGACCUCCGGGUCAGAGUCCCAUGCACUCUUACUGCCGUGUCGAUAAUAUUGGAGACUUGCCGUGCCCGCUUGUCUCGAGUGAUGCUUGUGCCUGGAGGCGCUGACUACUAAGUUCUAUGUUUAGAGCUUAGCGACUACCGAUCAGGUUAUGAGUGUUUUUCUCGAGUGGUACGUUAAAGUCUGUGGCGUCCGUGUCAGUCACCCGUCAGACCCGUCUUGAAACACGGACCAAGGAGUCUAACAUGUACGCAAGUCAUUGAGUGGUAAACUCAAAGGCGAAAUGAAAGUAAAUGCUAGUUUGGCUAGCUGAAGUGAGAUCCCGAAAGUGUUUGGGCGCAUCACUGCCCCGUCCUAUGGGUUAUGUCCCUUGGGUGGAGGUAGAGCGCACAUGUUGGGACCCGAAAGAUGGUGAACUAUGCUUGAGCAGGACGAAGCCAGAUGAAAAUCUGGUGGAGGUCCGCAGCGGUUCUGACGUGCAAAUCGAUCGUCAGACUUGAGUAUAGGGGCGAAAGACUAAUCGAACCAUC